AAGAAAGAAAAGGCGGAAUUCCUAGUGUAGCGGUGAAAUGCGUAGAUAUUAGGAGGAACACCGGUGGCGAAGGCGGCUUAC
RNAcentral lists this ribosomal RNA (81 nucleotides) under bacterium. Its description in RNAcentral is "partial 16S ribosomal RNA". The stretch from base 11 to 79 matches the Rfam family "Bacterial small subunit ribosomal RNA", at positions 659 to 727 of the family's 1533-position model. The record is from RNAcentral.